RNAcentral lists this ribosomal RNA (259 nucleotides) under uncultured bacterium. RNAcentral describes it as "partial 16S ribosomal RNA". The record is from RNAcentral.
CUGCUGCCUCCCGUAGGAGUCUGGUCCGUGUCUCAGUACCAGUGUGGGGGACCUUCCUCUCAGAACCCCUACGCAUCGUCGCCUCGGUGGGCCGUUACCCCGCCGACUAGCUAAUGCGACGCAUGGCCAUCCUAUGCCGGAGUCGCCUCCUUUGACCACCUGGAGAUGUCUCCAAAUGGUGUUAUGCGGUAUUAGACGGAAUUUCUUCCGCUUAUCCCCCUGCAUAGGGCAGGUUCCAUACGUGUUACUCACCCGUGCG